AAGCCUCUCCGUCCAUUUCAGCUCUGAUUCCAGACCAUAUGCGAGCCCCAGGCUUGUAGAAACAGAGAGGAUAACAGGCCACUGCCCUCCAGGUCACUGCUCAAGAAGACAGAGAGCUGAAAUUAUACCCUUUUCAGAUGGUCGUGUCGGGAAUGUAGGGACCUGACGGCAUGGCAGAGUCACCAUCUCAACCUCAGAGUCUCUACAGGGACGUCAUAGCUGUGGGGAGAGAAGAGGACUUCAACCAGAACUUGCUGUAGCCCAGGGCAGGUCCUGUGUGGCUGCAGGGCCUCCACGCGACAAGACCCUAAUGGUGAGGAGAGACUCUCUUGCUACUCGGCGGGUCUUGCUGGACUGGCACCAUUGGCCUCACCUGGGGCUUCUGAGAAAUGCAGACUCUCAGGCCCACCUGGACUUACUGACCGGAAUGUGCACUUUAACUGGAUCCCCAGCCCAUCUCAUCUGAACCCUCAGUGCUCUUCAUGUCUGUGCCAGAGAAACAUAAGAUUUAAGAGCUUACUAAUCACCAGAUGCUCUGCUGCUCUUUACAUCCACGAGACAGAUUCUUUCACUGUCAGCAUCUCCAUCACACAGAGACAAAAGCAGACCUGGAUUAGGAGGAAGUCUGCUGGCAGCUACCCAGCAGAUGCGAGGGCAGCAGUUGGGGUCCAGUGUGUGUUUGCUGGGCCCCCGGGCCAUUCGCUCAAUUUUAGGUCUACAGUCGCAUGUGAUCAAUGCUCUCCACCGGUGCCCUGGCUGACGUCCCCGGUUAUUUCUCAGUUGACAGAUUCCUCCGAAGGACGGCCCAGGACUCGUCUCCUGUGCCGGCCCUGCACCGUGUCAGCUUUGUGAACUGCGUUCCAGGAUGUCCUUUGCCGGUGAGGGUUAGGUUGGUCACGCGAGAAAUCUGCAUGAGAGUUUGGACGGCAAGUGAAGCAGCAGCUGAUCCAAUGCUCUAAAGGCUGAUGUGGGGUGCCGGGCACGACAGCCACUCCAGUAUAGGAAGCAUCAUUUAGGUCCCAAUGGACCUUCUCCUGCAGCUCCAUGACACAGGGCCCACGCUUCUCCCACAGUCCAGCUUUCCUUCCAAUCUGCUGGCCUGAAGGAUCUAAAGAGGCUUAAGGUCCAAACCAGAUGCACGAGCAACAGCCUUGCACAGCUUCCUCCACCUGCAGCCACAAGUGUGAAAGGUCCAAUCCUGAUAAGGAAUCUGUUCUGUAGUGCUCCUAGUCUUUCUGCUUCUGUGAUCACACCCUGACUUCCCACCUGCACGUAUCAAAGGCAGGUCUCAGAAGGGGCUCAAAUGUCAACCAUCCACAUGAAGCUCGAUCCUGCAGCUGCAGGAGUCAGCAGAUAAUUGUGGCCCUGGGAAACAAAGAUGUGCAGGGCUCCAGUUGAAUGAUCGCACUCUCACUGCUCUUCACUCCUGACCUUGCACGUUUCUGUUCCAUAUCACUGCCAGCAUCUUGAAGGCAGGUCCUGGGUCUCCUUAGUCUCCAUCCAUCCCCAGUUUCCACACAGUGCCUAACAUAUAGCAGCUGCCAGAUUAACACUGUUGGCUAUUAGCCUCUCUUCCUCAACUUCCCCCUCCUUGCCCCAAAGCUACUGAGGCCCAUGAGAUCUUCUUCACCUGCUUUGAAAGGAAAGGAGAACCGUCCAUCAGACCUGGAGGGCUUUUGGAUCCUAACGAAACACUUAGUGUGUCCUGUCCUAACGGUAACGGAUGCAGCACAGACACCGGAGAGCGGGGAUAAUAUAUUCUGUGCAGUAACUGAAAAACAAAAUAUUUAUUGCAAAGUUUUUUAAAGCGUCAUUCUACUUGCAAAUGUUGUACCGCAGACAUAUGUCAGCUGAGUGUGCCUCUGGCACAAAGAACACAAGUAAACAGAAAUAUUUUAAUUUGAGCUACAGUACGCACCCCAUCUGACAGCUUUAUGAUGGGUUGCAUGGCUUCCAUAUGCUGUGGGUGAUGACGAAGCUGUCUACCUUCACUCCAACCAGGGAAAGCAAAGCAGUGGGGGAAGGAAGAGAGCAUGCAUUAAGCACCUACUGUAUGCCAGUUACUGAGUUGAGUGAUUUGAUUUUCAUUUUAGUAAACAUUCACAAGGGCUCUAAGAGAGGACAUUGUCACCAUUUACAUUUGGGAAAACAGGCUCAGACAGGAUGAACAACUCGUCCAAAUCCACACAGCUCAUGAUUUGCGGCAGUGGAAUUUUAUCUCAGAUGUAUUGAGUGAUAAAGCCAUUAUUUAUUUCACUUUUGCACAGAAAUAAAUAGGCUGCUCUUGGCAGGCAGAUGAGAUAAAGAAAGUUACAGCACAUUCAGUGAUGGCAUCACUGUGUUUCUGUUCCUCCAGGGCAGCCUGUUACAGCGGCUAGAGGAGGAGACGACUGAGAAGGGGUCUCCAGCACGUCUCCCUAGGACUCCAGGCAGGGAAAAGAGAAGGACAUCUCCUCGCUCUCUUCUCCAGAGAGAAGGCGUGUCUUGUCCAAGGCAGGGGCUUGGGAAAGACGAGACUCACAAGGAUGGGACAGCCCAGGCCAGCUUAGGCAGGUGGACGGCGGGGGCUUUGGACGGGCCUCACCACAUUUGAGUGCUGGCUCUACCCCUCACUGCAGACCUUAGACCAGCCAUGUGGCCGCCAGGGCUCCAGCCUCUUCACCUGCAAAGUGGAACCCUCCCCACUGGGUUUCUCUGAGGAGCACGGAGGUCACUGGAUGUACACUGUGCACAUGGACAGCACUGAAUGAGCAUUAACUGCCUCUGCUUUCAACCCCAAGGGGGUCCCAGAGCAGGAGAUGGCAGCAAGGAGCCCGCGCAACAUCAGCAGAUGCUGGUGGGAAGGAAGCUGCAGCCUCUGCAGAAAGCUGUCUUGUCUUGGGGUCACGGUUGGACCCUGUCUGUGGACUAACAGCUCAGACCCACCUUGGGCCCAUCCAGCUGCACUGACGCCCUGCUCUGCUCCAUCCUCGGGCCCCGAGCCAAAGCCCUCAUAAUCCAUGCCCCAGGGAGACGUCGUCCACAGCAAACCGCUUCUCCUCUUUGUCUGACCCGAGGCUUGUAGCUUUUUAUUUAUCUUACACACCAAAAAGCUUCAAGAUAAAUUCCUUUCCAGGUUAUUAUUGCAUUCUUAUCUCAGAAACCUGUUUGCAUCUCCCCUUUCUGCUUAUUCUUGGAAUAUUAAGGGUUCUUACCCCGGGAUUUAGGAAAUUCACGAACUCUUGAAAGUAAAUGUAAAGUUUAGUCUGUGUGUGGGGUGUGUGUGUGUGUGUGUGUGUGUGUGUAGUAUUUCUGGGUGGGGGAGCUUCAUAGCUUUCGCCAGGUUUUCAGGAAGAAAGCAACACUGCUUUAGAUGGUCUAUUCUAUUAAA
Non-coding RNA from Equus caballus (horse), 3370 nucleotides. The record is from RefSeq and is a predicted model, not a curated record. Lineage: Eukaryota; Metazoa; Chordata; Mammalia; Perissodactyla; Equidae.